This 1108-nucleotide long non-coding RNA is filed under the name Nicotiana benthamiana. RNAcentral's name for it is "long non-coding RNA (NBEN_LNC020271)". Lineage: Eukaryota; Viridiplantae; Streptophyta; Magnoliopsida; Solanales; Solanaceae. The record is from RNAcentral.
UUCUACACUAUACUAAUAACUACUAUACAAGAUAUUGCCUUAAAAAGACCCCCGUCAGGCCCGCCAGGCCAGGGACUGCCAGACCCGGCACACGAAGCCCGGGACCGUGAAGCCCAGCCCAUCAGGCCCGUUUAGGCCCGGGCCCGGGCCAGAAUACACACAUAUAAACUAAAAAUAAAUUUUAUACAACUAAGGCAAAAUACAUAAAAUACUACUUGAAUUUGUACCCAAAUCCCUCUUAUAUACUUGUUAAUUACGGGAAUAUUUUGACACAUCCGAACCUUUCAAUGUGUAUUUAUAACACAUCACUUUAAAUGUGUAUAUUACACACCAAUGAGAUGACGACACGUGUAUUAACUUAAGAAAAAUAUAGAAAAUAUUUAAAAAUACUCAUGUUCUUCUUCUUCCCAAGCACAGACUCUACCGUCGCCGGCCGUGAACCCCCAAUCAACCAUAAUCCCUCUCAUUAUUUGACAAAGACAUGCUUUACAUGCUUUAUUUUUCAUGUGCAUCAAAGCACGAAGAAGAAAAUUCAUCUCUCACCACCCAAUUAACUCUCCACCACCAUGAAAUUCUUACUCAGCCAAUGCUCUGCCACCCAUCCUUCAUAGUUGUCGCUCAACACCACCAUACUCCUCCGAAGAAAAUAUUUUCAAAUUGGCGCCUUUCGCCGCCAACUAUUCUACUAAGCACAAAAUUCCCUCACCAAAACUAUUUUUCAUUACCUAUCCAUGAAUCCACAUUCACUUUCUCCAUUCAAAUUUAUAUUUUCAUUCACAGUCCCUACUUAACAAUCAUCACAUUACUGCUAGAAUAAAGUUGAAGGAACCAACCCAUUGUCUCAAGCAGUUAAAGUAAACAACAAAAAAUGGUGAAGGUCUGACGAAUUUUGGGGCUGAGAUUUCUGAUUUUUUUAAGAUUUAUUAAGAGGGGUUGAGAAGGAAGAAUGUAGGAAAUAUAUGAGAAAAGGGAGAGGAUGAAAUGUUUUAUGGUGGAGCUUUGGAGAAAAAAGAAAUGAAUUUUCAUUUUUCCAUUGUUGCCGGAGAGUUGUUUGCUUGUGCUUGACAAAGAAGAUGAUAAUUAGCAUAUCCAAAAUUCAAAAGUCACU